AGAAGGCGCUUGCUACAGGAGAAAGGGACUUGGAGUAGCAUGCUCGCUGGCCAAUCGGGAGGAGAAAAGCGAGUCUCCGUGAGUGGAGUUUGGCGCGUGGAAGACUUGAAGGCGUUACUAAACAAGUUACAAUGUGAACUUGUGAGCUUCCCUUCAGGGAGAUGUAGUUACAAUUCCAGCACACUGGCCCACUCUCUCUUGGUGGUAUGAGACUUUCUACAACUGAAUGCCCAGAACUUCCCAUCACUGACCCAGGAGCCAUUAUCAAGAGGAUUCCGAGGAAAGGUGCCAUUCCUCUGGGGCCGCUGACCUCUGACAGACUGACAAGCUUCCAGGGCUCCUGGUGUUCUGCAGCCUGAGAAGAUGCAG
This 369-nucleotide small RNA is filed under the name Rattus norvegicus (Norway rat). RNAcentral describes it as "uncharacterized LOC102555909". The record is from RNAcentral. Lineage: Eukaryota; Metazoa; Chordata; Mammalia; Rodentia; Muridae.